RNAcentral lists this ribosomal RNA (448 nucleotides) under uncultured bacterium. Its description in RNAcentral is "bacterial SSU rRNA". It matches the Rfam family "Bacterial small subunit ribosomal RNA", at positions 355 to 825 of the family's 1533-position model. The record is from RNAcentral.
UGGGGAAUAUUGGACAAUGGGCGCAAGCCUGAUCCAGCCAUGCCGCGUGAGUGACGAAGGCCUUAGGGUUGUAAAGCUCUUUUUGGCGGGGAAGAUAAUGACGGUACCCGCAGAAUAAGCUCCGGCUAACUUCGUGCCAGCAGCCGCGGUAAUACGAAGGGAGCUAGCGUUGUUCGGAAUCACUGGGCGUAAAGCGCACGUAGGUGGGCAGUUAAGUCAGGGGUGAAAGCCCGAGGCUCAACCUCGGAAUUGCCUCUGAUACUGGCUGUCUAGAGUUCGAGAGAGGUGAGUGGAAUUCCUAGUGUAGAGGUGAAAUUCGUAGAUAUUAGGAAGAACACCGGUGGCGAAGGCGGCUCACUGGCUCGAUACUGACACUGAGGUGCGAAAGCGUGGGGAGCAAACAGGAUUAGAUACCCCCGUAGUCCCUGAGCGGGCUGGCAAGGCGCAU